Molecule: transfer RNA, 75 nt
Filed under: Nitrososphaerota archaeon
Lineage: Archaea; Thermoproteati; Nitrososphaerota
Description: Thaumarchaeota archaeon tRNA-Ile
Rfam family: tRNA
About the family: Transfer RNA (tRNA) molecules are approximately 80 nucleotides in length. Their secondary structure includes four short double-helical elements and three loops (D, anti-codon, and T loops).
Source: RNAcentral
GGGCCCGUAGCUCAGUUCGGUUAGAGCGACCGGCUCAUAACCGGUCGGUCGAGUGUUCAAAUCACUCCGGGCCCA